Rattus norvegicus (Norway rat) is the source of this 391-nucleotide non-coding RNA. The record is from RefSeq and is a predicted model, not a curated record. NCBI's taxonomy places the organism in Eukaryota, Metazoa, Chordata, Mammalia, Rodentia, Muridae.
CUGAUAAACAGCUUUCCCUACAUUGACCAGAUUCAAGAGUGCCUUUUCCAGGAGUGUCUCUUGUGACACAGUGGAAGCCUUUAUGUACUCCAUCUCUCCAAUUCAAUUUUUUGCAAUGAUUUUGGCAAAUAAUGGGACCGGGUACACAGUUGCAUAUAUUCUAUCUGGAUGAUAGAAACACUGUGCAUUGUUGGUCUACUGUACAUCUUCUUUCAACUCCACAUGCAACAAAGAGCAGGAGCAAGUCAUAGCAGGAUGCCUUGGAGAUGAGAAACAGGAGCGAUCAGAGAACUCAAUUUGCAAUUAAAUGGACUGUAAACAAUUCUUACAAGUUCAUCAAAGAAAAUGAUUAAAAAUAAACUUGGUUGCGAGAGGGAUUUUUAUGCACCUA